CCCUUAGAUGUUCUGGGCCGCACGCGUGCUACACUGAGUGGAUCAGCGGGUCAGGUUACGCGAGAGCGUUUCCUAAUCUUCAAAUCCGCUCGUGAUGGGGAUUGACGGUUGCAAUUUUCCGUCGUGAACGAGGAAUACCUUGUAAGCGCGGGUCAUCAUCCCGCGCUGAAUACGUCCCUGCCCUUUGUACACACCGCCCGUCGCUCCUACCGAUUGAGUGGUCCGGUGAGGCUUUGGGAUCUAAGCGAAAAGAGCGUUUCGCUCCUUUUGCUGGGAGAACUCAGUCGAACCUUAUCAUUUAGAGGAAGGAGAAGUCGUAACA
Molecule: ribosomal RNA, 322 nt
Filed under: uncultured eukaryote
Lineage: Eukaryota
Description: partial 18S ribosomal RNA
Rfam family: Eukaryotic small subunit ribosomal RNA
Source: RNAcentral